UAAGGAAUAUUGGACAAUGGAGGCAACCCUGAUCCAGCCAUGCCGCGUGAAGGAAUAAGGCCCUAUGGGUUGUAAACUUCUUUUAGACGGGACAAAACCCCUUUACGUGUAAAGGGUUGAUGGUACUGUCAGAAUAAGCAUCGGCUAACUUCGUGCCAGCAGCCGCGGUAAUACGAAGGAUGCAAGCGUUAUCCGGAAUUAUUGGGUUUAAAGGGUGCGUAGGCGGACUAAUAAGUCAGUGGUGAAAGCCUGCAGCUUAACUGCAGAAUUGCCAUUGAUACUGUUAGUCUUGAGUACAGUUGAGGUAGGCGGAAUGUGUCAUGUAGCGGUGAAAUGCUUAGAUAUGACACAGAACACCGAUUGCGAAGGCAGCUUGCUAAGCUGUAACUGACGCUGAGGCACGAAAGCGUGGGGAGCAAACA
This 422-nucleotide ribosomal RNA is filed under the name uncultured bacterium. Its description in RNAcentral is "bacterial SSU rRNA". It matches the Rfam family "Bacterial small subunit ribosomal RNA", at positions 355 to 774 of the family's 1533-position model. The record is from RNAcentral.